This is a small nuclear RNA of Sorex araneus (European shrew), 111 nucleotides long. Its record names the gene U5. It matches the Rfam family "U5 spliceosomal RNA". Rfam says of the family: U5 RNA is a component of both types of known spliceosome. The precise function of this molecule is unknown, though it is known that the 5' loop is required for splice site selection and p220 binding, and that both the 3' stem-loop and the Sm site are important for Sm protein binding and cap methylation. NCBI's taxonomy places the organism in Eukaryota, Metazoa, Chordata, Mammalia, Eulipotyphla, Soricidae. The record is from Ensembl.
AUACUUUGGUUUCUUUUCAGAACUUAUAAAUCUUUCACUUUUUAUUUAAGAUUUCUGUGGAGAGGAGCAGGUUUUUAUAAACAAAUUUUUAAUGCCUUGCUCUCGCAAUAA